GAUGAAGAACGUAGCGAAAUGCGAUAAGUAAUGUGAAUUGCAGAAUUCAGUGAAUCAUCGAAUCUUUGAACGCACCUUGCGCCCCUUGGUUAUUCCAAAGGGCAUGCCUGUUUGAGUAUCAUGAACACCUCAACUCUUGUGGUUUCCCACAAUGAGCUUGGACUGUGGAGGUUUUGUUGGCCCUGUGGUCAGCUCCUCUCAAAUGGAUCAGCUUACCGGUGUUUGGUGGCAUUACGGGUGUGAUAACUAUCUACGCUCGUGGUCGUCUCCAUAUAACCUCCAGUGAUGGAGGUUCGCUGGAGCUUAUAAAUGUCUCUCCCCAGUGAAGACAGCCUUUGAACGUUCGAUCUCAAAUCAGGUAGGACUACCCGCUGAACUUAAGCAUAUCAAUAAGCGGAGGA
RNAcentral lists this unclassified non-coding RNA (401 nucleotides) under soil metagenome. RNAcentral's name for it is "partial contains 5.8S ribosomal RNA, internal transcribed spacer 2, and large subunit ribosomal RNA". The stretch from base 1 to 121 matches the Rfam family "5.8S ribosomal RNA", at positions 35 to 154 of the family's 154-position model. The record is from RNAcentral.